RNAcentral lists this ribosomal RNA (252 nucleotides) under uncultured bacterium. RNAcentral describes it as "partial 16S ribosomal RNA". It matches the Rfam family "Bacterial small subunit ribosomal RNA", at positions 524 to 776 of the family's 1533-position model. The record is from RNAcentral.
UACGUAGGUCCCGAGCGUUGUCCGGAUUUAUUGGGCGUAAAGCGAGCGCAGGUGGUUUAUUAAGUCUGGUGUAAAAGGCAGUGGCUCAACCAUUGUAUGCAUUGGAAACUGGUAGACUUGAGUGCAGGAGAGGAGAGUGGAAUUCCAUGUGUAGCGGUGAAAUGCUUAGAGAUCAUACAGAACACCGAUUGCGAAGGCAGCUUACCAAUCUAUAUCUGACGUUGAGGCACGAAAGCGUGGGGAGCAAACAGG